RNAcentral lists this ribosomal RNA (253 nucleotides) under uncultured bacterium. RNAcentral describes it as "partial 16S ribosomal RNA". It matches the Rfam family "Bacterial small subunit ribosomal RNA", at positions 524 to 776 of the family's 1533-position model. The record is from RNAcentral.
UACGAACUGUGCGAACGUUAUUCGGAAUCACUGGGCUUACAGGGUGUGUAGGCGGCUUGUUAAGUAGGGUGUGAAAGCCCCCGGCUCAACCGGGGAAUUGCGCCCUAAACUGGCGAGCUGGAGUGAGAUAGGGGUGUGUGGAACUUCCGGUGGAGCGGUGAAAUGUGUUGAUAUCGGAAGGAACGCCGGUGGCGAAAGCGACACACUGGAUCUUGUCUGACGCUGAGGCACGAAAGCCAGGGGAGCGAACGGG